AUCUACGGAUGAAAGCGGGGGAUCGCAAGACCUCGCGCGAUUGGAGCGGCCGAUAUCAGAUUAGGUUGUUGGUGGGGUAAAAGCCCACCAAGCCGACGAUCUGUAGCUGGUCUGAGAGGACGACCAGCCACACUGGAACUGAGACACGGUCCAGACUCCUACGGGAGGCAGCAGUGGGGAAUUUUGGACAAUGGGCGCAAGCCUGAUCCAGCAAUGCCGCGUGCAGGGAUGAAGGCCUAUGGGUCGUAAAC
RNAcentral lists this ribosomal RNA (251 nucleotides) under Aeromonas salmonicida subsp. salmonicida 01-B526. Its description in RNAcentral is "partial 16S ribosomal RNA". It matches the Rfam family "Bacterial small subunit ribosomal RNA", at positions 192 to 430 of the family's 1533-position model. Lineage: Bacteria; Pseudomonadati; Pseudomonadota; Gammaproteobacteria; Aeromonadales; Aeromonadaceae. The record is from RNAcentral.